Molecule: ribosomal RNA, 505 nt
Filed under: uncultured bacterium
Lineage: Bacteria
Description: bacterial SSU rRNA
Rfam family: Bacterial small subunit ribosomal RNA
Source: RNAcentral
AAAGCCUGACGCAGCGACGCCGCGUGUGGGAUGAAGGCCUUCGGGUUGUAAACCACUGUCGGGAGGGACGAAGCUCUGACGGUACCUCCAAAGGAAGCACCGGCUAACUCUGUGCCAGCAGCCGCGGUAAUACAGAGGGUGCGAGCGUUGUCCGGAAUUACUGGGCGUAAAAGGGCGCGUAGGCGGCCUGAUAAGUCGGGGGUGAAAUUCAGCGGCUCAACCGCUGGACUGCCUUCGAGACUGUCGGGCUGGAGCACGGCAGAGGCUGGUGGAAUUCCCGGUGUAGCGGUGGAAUGCGUAGAGAUCGGGAAGAACAUCGGUGGCGAAGGCGGCCAGCUGGGCCGUUGCUGACGCUGAGGCGCGACAGCGUGGGGAGCAAACAGGAUUAGAUACCCUGGUAGUCCACGCCGUAAACGAUGGGUACUAGGCGUCGGGGGGAGCGACCCCUUCGGUGCCGUCGUUAACACAGUAAGUACCCCGCCUGGGGAGUACGGCCGCAAGGCUG